GAACCACCCAAACGUUAUUCGGAAUUACUGGGCUUAAAGGGUGCGUAGGCGGUGCGGAAAGUCAAGUGUGAAAGCCCUCGGCUCAACCGAGGAAUGGCGCUCGAAACUACCGCGCUCGAGGAAGACAGAGGUAAGCGGAACAGCGGGUGGAGCGGUGAAAUGCGUUGAUAUCCGCUGGAACACCGGUGGCGAAAGCGGCUUACUGGGUCUUUUCUGACGCUGAGGCACGAAAGCCAGGGUAGCGAACGGGAUUAGAUACCCCGGUAGUCCUGGCCGUAAACGCUGAGCACUUGACGGGAGACCCCCCCAUAGGUUUCCGGUCGUAGCGAAAGUGAUUAGUGCUCCGCCUGGGGAGUAUGGCCGCAAGGCUG
Molecule: ribosomal RNA, 371 nt
Filed under: uncultured bacterium
Lineage: Bacteria
Description: bacterial SSU rRNA
Rfam family: Bacterial small subunit ribosomal RNA
Source: RNAcentral